AUGAACGCUGGCGGCGUGCCUAAUCCCUGCAAGUCGCGCGAACAGACGAGGAGCUUGCUCCUAUGACGUUAGCGGCGGACGGGUGAGUAACACGUGGCUAACCUACCUAUAAGACUGGGAUAACUUCGGGAAACCGGAGCUAAUACCGGAUAAUAUAUUGAACCGCAUGGUUCAAUAGCUAAAGACGGUUUUGCUGUCACUUAUCGAUGGAUCCGCGCCGCAUUAGCUAGUUGGUAAGGUAACGGCUUACCAAGGCAACGAUGCGUAGCCGACCUGAGAGGGUGAUCGGCCACACUGGAACUGAGACACGGUCCAGACUCCUACGGGAGGCAGCAGUAGGGAAUCUUCCGCAAUGGGCGAAAGCCUGACGGAGCAACGCCGCGUGAGUGAUGAAGGUCUUCGGAUCGUAAAACUCUGUUAUUAGGGAAGAACAAAUGUGUAAGUAACUAUGCACGUCUUGACGGUACCUAAUCAGAAAGCCACGGCUAACUACGUG
RNAcentral lists this ribosomal RNA (496 nucleotides) under uncultured bacterium. Its description in RNAcentral is "partial 16S ribosomal RNA". It matches the Rfam family "Bacterial small subunit ribosomal RNA", at positions 29 to 507 of the family's 1533-position model. The record is from RNAcentral.